This 460-nucleotide ribosomal RNA is filed under the name uncultured bacterium. RNAcentral's name for it is "partial 16S ribosomal RNA". It matches the Rfam family "Bacterial small subunit ribosomal RNA", at positions 338 to 795 of the family's 1533-position model. The record is from RNAcentral.
CCUACGGGAGGCAGCAGUGAGGAAUAUUGGUCAAUGGACGCAAGUCUGAACCAGCCAUGCCGCGUGCAGGAAGACGGCUCUAUGAGUUGUAAACUGCUUUUGUACGAGGGUAAACGCAGAUACGCGUAUCUGUCUGAAAGUAUCGUACGAAUAAGGAUCGGCUAACUCCGUGCCAGCAGCCGCGGUAAUACGGAGGAUUCAAGCGUUAUCCGGAUUUAUUGGGGUUAAAGGGUGCGUAGGCGGUCGGAUAAGUUAGGGGUGAAAUCCCGAGGCUCAACUUCGGAAUUGCCUCGGAUACUGUGCGGCUAGAGAGUAGUUGCGGUAGGCGGAAUGUAUGGUGUAGCGGUGAAAUGCUUAGAGAUCAUACAGAACACCGAUUGCGAAGGCAGCUUACCAGGCUACUUCUGACGUUGAGGCACGAAAGCGUGGGGAGCAAACAGGAUUAGAUACCCCUGUAGUC